ACCGUUGUCUGAUUGUCUGAUUUUUCAUCAGACAACGGCUCACUCUACAACGGUGGGACUCCAAAUCCCACAUUGGUUUUCUGUCGUUGUCUGAUGCGAUUUUUGGUGUAGUGUUAAAUACGAUUCGGGUUGAAAGAUUGGGUUUUGGUGAUGAGUUAAAUUUCUGGGUUUCACGUAAUCUGUUUUCUCAAGCUGACAGACAUGAUCUUUUCUUUCUCUCUUUUCGUCCUUGGCUGAGCUUUGUGUUUCUAUUGUUGAUAGAGUGAAAGAGAGGCAGAGAAUUACAGAGAAUAGGUUCUGCAUGUUCUCUGUGUGUGUGUUUUUGUGUUCUCUGAUAAGAGAAAUAAUCAAGAAAAACGGAGAAUGAAAGAAUUUGUGGUUUUUUUUUUAAAAAGAAUUCUGAUUUGGGGUUCUGGUGAUGUAGGGGUUUAGGGUUGUCGUAUUGGGUUUGUCAUCAACAAGGAAAAGGAAGGCGAUUCUGGGUUAUUGGCUCAACCUUGAGGUGGAGGUGCGUUGAGGAAAGCAGGAGAGCUGCACCUUCUGGUAUUUGAGUUGUGGCCUGAAACAUCCGAUUCCCGAGUCAUUGUUCAUGCAUGUAGACAUAGUUGCUUCUACGUUCAAGGUUUCACCUGCUACUAUCAUUGUUGCUGCAAUUGAUUUAUCUAUUGUAAAAAAUUGGUCUGCAAGGUCUGAAAAAAAGGAGAAGCUUGAAUCUGUCAAUCAAGAUUGGAAGAAUUUUUGAGUGGAGUUAUCGGUGAUUUUUGCUCAAGUUGUAUCUAGCUGGAGCUAUCGGUGGUUCAGACUUUUACUUGGAGCACCAUACCUGGAUGUACUUACCGCCAGAGGGAAAGAUCUAAGGCAUGCAUCACCAGUUCGAUGGAGUUCGGUUCUAUUAAGCAUCAUAGACAUUUCUGCUCCUAGAUUGCAUCAACAGGUAAUGGAGCACCUGGAUGGAAACAACCACAGUCAGCUUUACAAUGUCAAGAAGGGACCUGAAUGAGUGGUCUGUGCUUAAACCCCUUCCAUCUUAUGGUACAAGAACAGAUGCAGUAGCUGGAAGGUUCCAAGUUAUCAUAAGAAGAGGCAGAGAAUAGAAAGUGGGAAGAAAAUAUAUCCUUCUGACAAUAAGUCAUGAUUGCCUCCAGUGCUAUGGUCCUUAAUUAUUGAAAGCAUUGCACAAACAAAUCGCAGUGUCUAUGGCUAAGAUACAGAAUGGUACUGACGUAGAGGUUUAUGGAUCACCAACUGAAAGAGGAAUUCUACACUUGAGGAAUUAAGAUUCUAUUCAAUCUCGAGGAUCCGAGCUUUUUCCAAUGUUCAAUGUAUCCAUAAAAGUAUUCUGCAGAGUCUCAAGCAACAGCAUUUGACAGAGUUUCAGAUAACUACAACUUCAAUACACUUCAUGCAAGUGGCUUUCUAUGGACUAUCAGUGACCUGAACAACCAUCUGGAUCAACAUUAUCUUCUCAGUAGGUUUGAUUUCAAGUUAAUGAUUUUGGUGGAGAAAUUGGUGUAACAUGUUUUAAUCAUGCAGCCAAAAAAUUAAUGUAUCUGACAAAAACAAUAUAAAUAUUCUGAUAUGUAAUGUUAUAAGAGAGAGGAUGUGUUUUGUUGCUGAUAGAACAGAGGAGUAGAGUGAAAUUUUGAAGCUUGAAUUGGGUAUUGAAGAAUUUAAUGCUUUAUUGCUUGGAACUAAAUGGAACAGUGUGGAGAGUUGGAUGUCUAGAGUGAAGGUUUUUAAUUUUCCUGGGUGUUGGGAUCAUUUUUGAUGGUGCUGUUUACGUAUAUAUGUUAACUGUUUGUUACUUCAGUAUAAAUACAUGUAAAUACAUUAGUCUUUAUUGAGAACAA
Long non-coding RNA from Rosa chinensis, 1850 nucleotides. RefSeq lists it as uncharacterized. Lineage: Eukaryota; Viridiplantae; Streptophyta; Magnoliopsida; Rosales; Rosaceae. The transcript has 10 exons. The record is from RefSeq and is a predicted model, not a curated record.